RNAcentral lists this ribosomal RNA (1306 nucleotides) under uncultured bacterium. RNAcentral describes it as "bacterial SSU rRNA". It matches the Rfam family "Bacterial small subunit ribosomal RNA", at positions 28 to 1381 of the family's 1533-position model. The record is from RNAcentral.
AACGUACGCUGGCGGCACGCCUAACACAUGCAAGUCGAACGAAGUAGCAAUACUUAGUGGCAGACGGGUGAGUAACAUGUAGGUAUCUGCCCUUUGGCCUGGAAUAACACGAGGAAACUUGUGCUAAUACCGGAUAAGUCUUUACGGAGAAAGCUUUAUGCACCAUUGGAUGAGCCUGCACUUGAUUAGUUUGUUGGUGGGGUAAUGGCCUACCAAGACUGUGAUCAAUAGCUGAUUUGAGAGGAUGAUCAGCCACAUUGGGACUGAGACACGGCCCAAACUCCUACGGGAGGCAGCAGUGGGGAAUCUUGCACAAUGGAGGAAACUCUGAUGCAGCGAUGCCGCGUGAGUGAAGAAGGCCCUUGGGUUGUAAAGCUCUUUCGUCGGGGAAGAAAAUGACUGUACCCGAAUAAGAAGGUCCGGCUAACUUCGUGCCAGCAGCCGCGGUAAUACGAAGGGACCUAGCGUAGUUCGGAAUUACUGGGCUUAAAGAGUUCGUAGGUGGUUGAAAAAGUUAGUGGUGAAAUCCCAGAGCUUAACUCUGGAACUGCCAUUAAAACUUUUCAGCUAGAGUAUGAUAGAGGAAAGCAGAAUUUCUAGUGUAGAGGUGAAAUUCGUAGAUAUUAGAAAGAAUACCAAUUGCGAAGGCAGUUUUCUGGAUCAUUACUGACACUGAGGAACGAAAGCAUGGGUAGCGAAGAGGAUUAGAUACCCUCGUAGUCCAUGCCGUAAACGAUGUGUGUUAGACGUUGGAAAUUUAUUUUCAGUGUCGCAGGGAAACCGAUAAACACACCGCCUGGGGAGUACGACCGCAAGGUUAAAACUCAAAUGAAUUGACGGGGACCCGCACAAGUAGUGGAGCAUGUGGUUUAAUUCGAAGAUACGCGCAGAACCUUACCAACACUUGACAUGUUCGUCGCGACUCUAAGAGAUUAGAGUUUUCGGUUCGGCCGGACGAAACACAGGUGCUGCAUGGCUGUCGUCAGCUCGUGUCGUGAGAUGUUGGGUUAAGUCCCGCAACGAGCGCAACCCUCACUUUUAGUUGCCAUCAUUAAGUUGGGCACUCUGAAAGAACUGCCAGUGAUAAGCUGGAGGAAGGUGGGGAUGACGUCAAGUCCUCAUGGCCCUUACGUGUUGGGCUACACACGUGCUACAAUGGUAUCUACAACAGGAAGCAAGACUGCGAAGUUAAGCAAAUCCCUAAAAGAUACCUCAGUUCGGAUUGCACUCUGCAACUCGAGUGCAUGAAGCUGGAAUUACUAGUAAUCGUGGAUCAGCGUGCCACGGUGAAUGCGUUCCCGGGUCU